RNAcentral lists this ribosomal RNA (116 nucleotides) under Sinocyclocheilus anshuiensis. The record is from RNAcentral. Lineage: Eukaryota; Metazoa; Chordata; Actinopteri; Cypriniformes; Cyprinidae.
ACCACAGCCAUAUCACCCUGCAGCCCAAGACUGGUUGCCCACUGAAGCUAAGCAGGGCUGAGCCUGGUCAGUACUUGGAUGGGAGACCUCUUGGGAAAACUAGGUUGCUGCUGGAA